RNAcentral lists this ribosomal RNA (253 nucleotides) under uncultured bacterium. RNAcentral describes it as "partial 16S ribosomal RNA". It matches the Rfam family "Bacterial small subunit ribosomal RNA", at positions 524 to 776 of the family's 1533-position model. The record is from RNAcentral.
UACGUAGGGCGCAAGCGUUGUCCGGAAUUAUUGGGCGUAAAGAGCUCGUAGGCGGUUUGUCACGUCGGAUGUGAAAGCCCGGGGCUUAACCGCGGGCCUGCUUUCGAUACGGGCGGGCUAGAGUUCGGCAGGGGAGACUGGAAUUCCUGGUGUAGCGGUGGAAUGCGCAGAUAUCAGGAGGAACACCAAUGGCGAAGGCAGCUCGCUGGGACGGUACUGACGCUGAGACGCGAAAGCGUGGGGAGCAAACAGG